RNAcentral lists this ribosomal RNA (1317 nucleotides) under Triticum aestivum (bread wheat). Its description in RNAcentral is "partial small subunit ribosomal RNA". Lineage: Eukaryota; Viridiplantae; Streptophyta; Magnoliopsida; Poales; Poaceae. The record is from RNAcentral.
AUGACAAUGCCAGAAUCACAAUGUACUGUUGGCCCUCGUGGCAUCCCACUCCCCUGGCUUCAUGAUAACUUUCUUAAUAUUUCUAGCUUCGCUGAUUCUGAGACGAGGAAAAGACAUCUGUUUGCGUAUUUGUUGUGGCUCCUCAGGGUUAUGUUUCCAAAUUCACACGGGGACGUACUUCUCCCUGGUCUCAUCUACAUUGUGGAGAAGAUGGUAGAUGAACCUUUACCCAAGCAUCCAAAAUUCAGCUUCGGUUCUGCCAUUCUAUCUCAUACAUAUAGAGGCUUGUGUGAUGCCACACAAAAAACUUCCUUCGCAAAAAAGCUCCGUUACUUUGUCCCCUACGAGUUUCUACAGUUGUGGUCCUGGGAAUACCUCCCUGUAGGACGACCUCGUAUAAUAAAUCCUAUACACCCAUACGACUAUAGCGAGGGCAACUGUGUAACUAUGGCCAGCAGGUGGACAAGGGCACGGAAACAUUGGUCUCCAAGUAUUGCGAAGAAUUGUUACCCUAUAUACCACUGGCAGUUUGAGGCACUUGAUGAGUCUGUAGUCACAUGGAACCCAUGGACUCAGGAGCAUCCUUACAACCCAGAGCGUGUCAUGAGACAGUUUGGUCUGUAUCAGGAGAUUCCACCACCUUUUCCAAGAUGUACUGACGAGGAAACCCAUAAGCUAACCAAUAUGGGCCACGGUUGGAGUCUUUAUGAUUGGAGGGAGCGCAACAUUCAAUGGCUCCAAACUGCCCACGAUGUAGGGCAGAUGGCGACGGAAAGCAUGCCGCCCAAGGCUGUCAAGUCAUUCAAUAAACGUGUUAAAGAAUACAUGCUAACAAAGUUGAGAUGUGGUAGAGGCGACGACGUUGUCACUGGAGCGUACAACAUGUCAGUACCGAGGUCAGCCAGACCGAGUGCGGCGCCGUCGUCCAGACCGAGCAAGGCGUGUACAAGCCAUGGGCAGUGGGGGGAGGGUGAGGGAUCUCAGCCGUAUCUCUUCACGCGAGGGAUCUCCAUGCCCGAGGAGACUCGUGUCCCAGAUUUAAACCAGUACCAGGUAGAAUGUCCAGACAGUACAGGCAAGGGAUCUGAUCAGGUUCGCAACAAGGAUUACAGACUCCACCACCUAUGCAAGAGUCGAAGACACAGGAAGACCAACUGGAGUACGGUCGCGGUCUUCGUGUACCUCAACCACCUAAUCGCUUGGAGCUUUCCGGCCCGAAGGGAAGGCCAGGUGGCCGUCGUUGACUGCAAUGAUUCAUCUAUCCACGUGCGCGACCCAUUGUAUCUACAUAUGUCUGUAUCAGACUUUUCGAUUUGA